CUGGUACAGGAAGGUGGUACAGGAAGUCUGGUACAGUGGAUUUCAAUUACUGGCUUACUGCCGUUUUAUUUAUUGUUCAAUAUUUCAACUUUUCAUCUAUUAAGUCUUAAGUGUUAGCUAAAACACAGUGUCGCAGAUUUUGCUAAGGAAAGCUCUAGUGUUGUGAUGGGUAUGCGAUGGAAUACUGACUCAUCUGUUGGAUAACUGUGAGGCGAAAGAUUUAUGAAACAUGCAUUUGCAGCAAUGAACAAUUUGCACGCUACCCAUAACAUUAAGUCAUUAAUCACGUGAAAAGGAUGGAUGGCCCUUGACUCAAUAUGGUGACAGCUUCAGAAUGGAUCUGGCGUACUAAACGGAACCCCAUGCAGUUCGGGUUGAAAUCACAGUCAGAAGAUGCACUGAUGAAUCUACAGUCACUCAGCUGUACCAAUAACAAUUUCUCAUUUGUCACGUUCAUGGGACAAUCACGUCAUCAACUAGCACACCGGUCGAUUCUGAUGAGCUCCAUGUUUUGGGUGGAUUGACAGAGGAAGCAAACAUUCCAUGCGGAUGGAAAGUACAAUUCUGCAUCGCCAACGCUCGAUUAGACACAGGGCUCUUUUCAAGUUUUAUACAGGCUGGAACCCGCACAGUUUCAUACCGAUCGACAAUGCCCACGGUGCGUAUUUCCACAGGUGGUCGGCACGUGAAGUAAAAAUAUGAAACUCGACGAGGUUUAUCGCGCGAAGGACACCCAUUUGUCAACGCGAAUCGCACCUACAGGUCUGAAUACAGGACUUCGACCCUUUGCAAAAUUGCACGCAACAGAGCCUAUUCUUUUCGCAUCACUUCGAAAGUUGCAAUUAUGUUUUGAAUCACGUUUUAUGCGGAAGCUUCAACAUCACUUUAUGACACGUUCAAGAGGCGCUUCAUGUUUUGGAUGGAGUGACAGAGGAAGCAAACAUUCCGUGCGGAUGGAAAGUACAAUUCUACAUCGCCAACGCUCGAUUAGACACUGGGCCCUUUUCAAUAUCUACCUUGUUCAUUUUCAUGCAACCCUGCCCAUUCCUCCUCAAUUUCAUUGCAAAUUAUUCAAAAUGGUGGCCGUCUGGCAUGUUCAUUGUUGAAUUGAUAUUUCCUGUGAUGGUGAUUACAAUUCUCAGCUUUUUGACAACUGCAGCUGAAGUUUUUGUGUGCCCAAGUGCUGUUGGCAAUAGAGAUGAAAUGUUCCAGUCCAAUAAUGCAAGCUGUGUCUUUCAUAACCAGGAAUUUCUGUUUGCAAGGUUGACGCGAGUGUCUUCGUGAGGGGGACAAAAUUCCGCCAUUUGUUUCUGAGACACCGAGUGAAAAUGUAUUCCAAAUGCAUUGCGGAUUUACGGCGUCGUUCUACAUUUUCAAUCAAGAAAUUUAACAGUUUAUGUUUAGAGAUCCCUUUACAUAUGGAGGAAUUUAAGAACACGCAAAAUCUGAACUUCAUUGCUGUCUUUCGCGUUAAUGGUUUUGUUGCAGCCAGCUGGUGAAAGGUUUGAUUCAGUUUAACUGUACUUGCUGCAUCAGUCUUUAGUGGUGGUGUUAUCCUGAAGUGCGAAAGCGUAACCCAACUACAACUGCACGAAGACUUCUUGAAAUGGACUCUGUGGCAAGGUGUUUUUCAACUGUAUGAUGCUGUUCAAUAUGCAGUGGUUUUGCAGCCAUUUCCAGUUCAAGCUGUUUCAUGCUGCCUGUGGUGCUGGCAUAUCCUGUAAUGUGUUGUUUGUCAAAGUCUUUCAGUCUUUGUGUGUAAUGCCUGUGUCGAUGUCUCUGUGACGUACCGAGAUGAUUGGACAUAACUGAAGAAGUUUAUGAUUUAGAUGUAGACAAGUGCAUAUCUGGGCUCCCUUCUUUUCUGCGGUCCCGUUUCCCUAACUAACCAACGCC
RNAcentral lists this long non-coding RNA (1896 nucleotides) under Daphnia pulicaria. Its description in RNAcentral is "uncharacterized LOC124328615, transcript variant X6". The record is from RNAcentral. Lineage: Eukaryota; Metazoa; Arthropoda; Branchiopoda; Diplostraca; Daphniidae.